Long non-coding RNA from Macrobrachium nipponense, 660 nucleotides. RefSeq lists it as uncharacterized. The transcript has 2 exons. NCBI's taxonomy places the organism in Eukaryota, Metazoa, Arthropoda, Malacostraca, Decapoda, Palaemonidae. The record is from RefSeq and is a predicted model, not a curated record.
CGACCGAAAAAAGUGAAAGAACAUUCUUUUUAUUUGGUCUUGUGUCGUGUGUCGUCAUGAACGUGAUACGUAUUUUCUUCCAGGAGUAUGGAAUGACAAAUUCAAAACUUUAGAGCAUAAAUCUCAAUGAGAAUUUAUUUUUAUCAGAAAGAAGGACCCCUUUUACGAACCAGGUCAUAUCAGCAAAGAAGAUACUUUGUAGUCGUCUCGACUCGACGUGAAGAUAUGAAUGUCACGAAGAGCUCCUGAUGAGGUCAUAUUGAAGAUCUGUCGUAUAUCUACUAUAUACUUAAUAAUUCACUUUGGAAAAAUUUUAGAUUUUGAAUUGUACUGUUGAUUAUACAGAACACCAAAUGAAGCACUAAAUACCUGCCAAUUUAUUACAGCAUUAGACCUUACCAGAACAUGAUUCACUCAUGAGUAUUGUCAGUACUUUAGGCGUGAUCCUACCUCCAGCUUACUCGGGACGUGUGCAAGAUUUUCCCCUCAUGCAUUAGUUUUAAACAUUAUACUCCUAACUUUUAACGUAAAUUGAAACGGUAAAAUCUAUGUUCAAAUAGUGUUGUUUCACCAACGAAAGUUAAAAUACACUAUUUUAUUAUUUUAUUGGAAAUAAUCUUUCUGUACCGUUUAGCAUGCACAUUAUUUAUUUUUUUACAU